GCAGCAGCCGCGGUAACACGGAGGGAGCUAGCGUUGUUCGGAAUUACUGGGCGUAAAGCGCGCGUAGGCGGUUACUCAAGUCAGAGGUGAAAGCCCGGGGCUCAACCCCGGAACUGCCUUUGAAACUAGGUAACUAGAAUCUUGGAGAGGUCAGUGGAAUUCCGAGUGUAGAGGUGAAAUUCGUAGAUAUUCGGAAGAACACCAGUGGCGAAGGCGGCUUACUGGUCCGGAACUGACGCUGAGGUGCGAAAGCGUGGGGAGCAAACAGGAUUAGAUACCCCCGUAGUCCCUGUCUCUUAUAC
This 302-nucleotide ribosomal RNA is filed under the name uncultured bacterium. RNAcentral's name for it is "partial 16S ribosomal RNA". It matches the Rfam family "Bacterial small subunit ribosomal RNA", at positions 508 to 807 of the family's 1533-position model. The record is from RNAcentral.